Molecule: ribosomal RNA, 1343 nt
Filed under: uncultured bacterium
Lineage: Bacteria
Description: 16S ribosomal RNA
Rfam family: Bacterial small subunit ribosomal RNA
Source: RNAcentral
GACGAACGCUGGCGGCGUGCUUAACACAUGCAAGUCGAACGGAAAGGCCCUGCUUUUGUGGGGUGCUCGAGUGGCGAACGGGUGAGUAACACGUGAGUAACCUGCCCUUGACUUUGGGAUAACUUCAGGAAACUGGGGCUAAUACCGGAUAGGAGCUCCUGCUGCAUGGUGGGGGUUGGAAAGUUUCGGCGGUUGGGGAUGGACUCGCGGCUUAUCAGCUUGUUGGUGGGGUAGUGGCUUACCAAGGCUUUGACGGGUAGCCGGCCUGAGAGGGUGACCGGCCACAUUGGGACUGAGAUACGGCCCAGACUCCUACGGGAGGCAGCAGUGGGGAAUAUUGCACAAUGGGCGGAAGCCUGAUGCAGCAACGCCGCGUGCGGGAUGACGGCCUUCGGGUUGUAAACCGCUUUCGCCCGUGACGAAGCGUGAGUGACGGUAAUGGGUAAAGAAGCACCGGCUAACUACGUGCCAGCAGCCGCGGUGAUACGUAGGGUGCGAGCGUUGUCCGGAUUUAUUGGGCGUAAAGGGCUCGUAGGUGGUUGAUCGCGUCGGAAGUGUAAUCUUGGGGCUUAACCCUGAGCGUGCUUUCGAUACGGGUUGACUUGAGGAAGGUAGGGGAGAAUGGAAUUCCUGGUGGAGCGGUGGAAUGCGCAGAUAUCAGGAGGAACACCAGUGGCGAAGGCGGUUCUCUGGGCCUUUCCUGACGCUGAGGAGCGAAAGCGUGGGGAGCGAACAGGCUUAGAUACCCUGGUAGUCCACGCUGUAAACGGUGGGUACUAGGUGUGGGGUCCAUUCCACGGGUUCCGUGCCGUAGCUAACGCUUUAAGUACCCCGCCUGGGGAGUACGGCCGCAAGGCUAAAACUCAAAGGAAUUGACGGGGCCCCGCACAAGCGGCGGAGCAUGCGGAUUAGUUCGAUGCAACGCGUAGAACCUUACCUGGGUUUGACAUGGAUCGGGAGUGCUCAGAGAUGGGUGUGCCUCUUUUGGGGUCGGUUCACAGGUGGUGCAUGGCUGUCGUCAGCUCGUGUCGUGAGAUGUUGGGUUAAGUCCCGCAACGAGCGCAACCCUUGUUCACUGUUGCCAGCACGUUAUGGUGGGGACUCAGUGGAGACCGCCGGGGUCAACUCGGAGGAAGGUGGGGAUGACGUCAAGUCAUCAUGCCCCUUAUGUCCAGGGCUUCACGCAUGCUACAAUGGCUGGUACAGAGAGUGGCGAGCCUGUGAGGGUGAGCGAAUCUCGGAAAGCCGGUCUCAGUUCGGAUUGGGGUCUGCAACUCGACCUCAUGAAGUCGGAGUCGCUAGUAAUCGCAGAUCAGCAACGCUGCGGUGAAUACGUUCCCGGG